This 236-nucleotide ribosomal RNA is filed under the name uncultured bacterium. RNAcentral describes it as "partial 16S ribosomal RNA". It matches the Rfam family "Bacterial small subunit ribosomal RNA", at positions 541 to 776 of the family's 1533-position model. The record is from RNAcentral.
UUGCUCGGAAUCACUGGGCGUAAAGCGCACGUAGGCGGCUUUCUAAGUCAGGGGUGAAAUCCUGGAGCUCAACUCCAGAACUGCCUUUGAUACUGGAGAGCUUGAGUCCGGGAGAGGUGAGUGGAACUCCGAGUGUAGAGGUGAAAUUCGUAGAUAUUCGGAAGAACACCAGUGGCGAAGGCGGCUCACUGGCCCGGUACUGACGCUGAGGAGCGAAAGCGUGGGGAGCGAACAGG